Molecule: long non-coding RNA, 509 nt
Filed under: Mytilus galloprovincialis (Mediterranean mussel)
Lineage: Eukaryota; Metazoa; Mollusca; Bivalvia; Mytilida; Mytilidae
Source: RNAcentral
GUUGUAUUCUAUGUAGGGAUGGCCUUUUGUGAUCCUUAGAUCAGGAUGAUUAUGUUAACAAUGCCUUCGACCAGCAUUGCUAUAUUAUUUAUAUCUGACAUGAACCAAAGGUUACAAAAGCCUGUAAGGUGGAGAAUAUUUGGCAGUAAAAUCGCCCAAGUUUUCCAUACAGAUCAUUUAUAAAUGUGAUGUAAAAUACGUGACAAUUGAGUUUAAGUCUUGCAGCAUUUUAAUUGGAAACAUAGGCACACACGGAAAUUUAAACACUAGGGACCUUUUCUACUAGUACUGUAUGUCUGCCCGGACAUAUUUUACCAGGACAAAGUUAUCUCUUACAGAAAACCUUUAGGUAGAGGUAAGCGUACAAGGUACGUAGUACAGAAUAUAAGUGCAAGUUAAAACUCUUCAAAGUUCCAGGCAUAUAUAAACGUUGAAAAUAUGCGGCACAGCUCUAUAUUUUGAUAUUUGAAAACAAAAUAGUAGUGCAUAUGAAUUAACUUCACAUUCUA